RNAcentral lists this unclassified non-coding RNA (19 nucleotides) under Chlamydomonas reinhardtii. Its description in RNAcentral is "small RNA Cre_0166". Lineage: Eukaryota; Viridiplantae; Chlorophyta; Chlorophyceae; Chlamydomonadales; Chlamydomonadaceae. The record is from RNAcentral.
AAUGAGAUGCUGUCACAGG